RNAcentral lists this ribosomal RNA (494 nucleotides) under Atopobium sp. Its description in RNAcentral is "partial 23S ribosomal RNA". It matches the Rfam family "Bacterial large subunit ribosomal RNA", at positions 1 to 501 of the family's 2925-position model. Lineage: Bacteria; Bacillati; Actinomycetota; Coriobacteriia; Coriobacteriales; Atopobiaceae. The record is from RNAcentral.
AAGAAAGUAAGAAAGGGCGCAUGGCGGAUGCCUUGGCUCACGGAGGCGAUGAAGGACGUGAUAAGCUGCGAUAAGCCUUGGGUAGGUGCAAAUAACCUUUGAUCCAAGGAUUUCCGAAUGGGACAACCCAGCAGGUUGAAGACCUGUUAUCACUACAAAAGUAGUGAGGCGAACGAAGGGAACUGAAACAUCUUAGUACCUUUAGGAAGAGAAAAUAAAUAAUGAUUCCCCUAGUAGUGGCGAGCGAACGGGGAAUAGCCCAAACCUGCUUUGUGGCAACGCUUAGCAGGGGUUGUAGGACCACGCUGUCGUACUUAGAUUGUGAGAAGAAUGUUCUGGAAAGAACAAUCAUAGAGGGUGAUAAUCCCGUAUUCGAAGCAUGACGAGACGUAGUGGUAUCCUGAGUAACGCGGAACACGUGAAAUUCUGCGCGAAUCUGCCGGGACCAUCCGGUAAGGCUAAAUACUCCCGUGAGACCGAUAGUGAACGAGUAC